UACGGAGGGGGCUAGCGUUGUUCGGAAUUACUGGGCGUAAAGCGCACGUAGGCGGAUCGUUAAGUCGGGGGUGAAAUCCCAGGGCUCAACCCUGGAACUGCCUUCGAUACUGGCAAUCUGGAGGUCGAGAGAGGCGAGUGGAAUGCCGAGUGUAGAGGUGAAAUUCGUAGAUAUUCGGCGGAACACCAGUGGCGAAGGCGGCUCACUGGCACGAUACUGACGCUGAGGUGCGACAGCGUGGGGAGCAAACAGG
This 253-nucleotide ribosomal RNA is filed under the name uncultured bacterium. RNAcentral's name for it is "partial 16S ribosomal RNA". It matches the Rfam family "Bacterial small subunit ribosomal RNA", at positions 524 to 776 of the family's 1533-position model. The record is from RNAcentral.